RNAcentral lists this ribosomal RNA (428 nucleotides) under Chloroflexota bacterium. Its description in RNAcentral is "Chloroflexi bacterium partial 16S ribosomal RNA". It matches the Rfam family "Bacterial small subunit ribosomal RNA", at positions 355 to 776 of the family's 1533-position model. Lineage: Bacteria; Bacillati; Chloroflexota. The record is from RNAcentral.
UGGGGAAUAUUGCACAAUGGGCGCAAGCCUGAUGCAGCCAUGCCGCGUGUAUGAAGAAGGCCUUCGGGUUGUAAAGUACUUUCAGUCGGGAGGAAGGUGGUAAGGUUAAUAACCUUAUCAAUUGACGUUACCGACAGAAGAAGCACCGGCUAACUCCGUGCCAGCAGCCGCGGUAAUACGGAGGGUGCAAGCGUUAAUCGGAAUUACUGGGCGUAAAGCGCACGCAGGCGGUUGAUUGAGUCAGAUGUGAAAUCCCCGGGCUUAACCCGGGAAUUGCAGCUGAUACUGGUCAGCUAGAGUCUUGUAGAGGGGGGUAGAAUUCCAUGUGUAGCGGUGAAAUGCGUAGAGAUGUGGAGGAAUACCGGUGGCGAAGGCGGCCCCUGGACAAAGACUGACGCUCAGGUGCGAAAGCGUGGGGAGCAAACAGG